AAUGGGUGUAUGCCCAUUUCUAGGGCCCAAUGUCUCUGGUCUAUGAUUCAGAAUGGGGGUAAUAUUGAAUCUGGGGGUGUAGAUGGUAUUGAGGUUUGUAGGGUAUAUUGAGUAAGGUGAAUUUUAUAGGGAUCAAGUUCUUUAGGUUCAAACAGAUCAUAUUCUAAUUCAUCUCACCGGACCUCCUCCGUCUCCUCCGCACCAGAAAUCGCCUCCAGAGGCGUGGAGGUCGUGCUUCCACCAAAGUCACAUCACUGAGAUCAUCUUCCUCGACACAAUCUCGAUAUGACUUUGAUUUUCAACAAUUCUCAUUCACUGCUUUAAAUCUAAGCCAAAUAACAAAUAAACCUAAGUUUCACAUCCUAAAUUAAACAGUGAUUACGCACAAAUUCGGUCCUAAAGCUUAGGGCUAAGGCUCCUUAGAGUGGAUUCUACAUGAUGAUAACAAGAUUAGGACAAGAAGAGAUAAAAUGGAAUACCUCCGAAGCGGAGAUUUGCUUCGGUGAAUAGUUGAAAAGAAGAAGAUGAUUACGGAGAGAUGGAUACUCUUGAAUCAGGUUGGUAUGUGUAAAGGAUGGCAAGGCAUGGCAUGGCCAAUCAAGGCAUGGCUUGAAGAAACUUACACAUGAAGUAAUCUUGGCAUGUGAAGUCAAGGGAGAAGAUGGUACAAUGAAAAAUCAAAGUGAAACUUAGGGUUAGGUUGAUGGAUUAGGUGAGUUGACUUUGGUCAAUUGGUUGACCAAAAAGUCAAUAGUUUACCAAAGUCAACUGUAGGUCAAAGUCAAUUUUUUUGUAAUUUUUGUAUGGAUUCUUGUAAGUGGUAUUGUACAAAUGAAAUGGACUAUCUUGGAUGAAAACAACCCUUUUGAUUCAAGAACUUUGAAUGAAUCAUGGACUUUGAAUGAGAACCAUGAGACUUGAACAAA
Long non-coding RNA from Lathyrus oleraceus (garden pea), 926 nucleotides. RefSeq lists it as uncharacterized. The record is from RefSeq and is a predicted model, not a curated record. The transcript is spliced from 2 exons. Lineage: Eukaryota; Viridiplantae; Streptophyta; Magnoliopsida; Fabales; Fabaceae.